RNAcentral lists this long non-coding RNA (983 nucleotides) under Nicotiana tabacum (common tobacco). RNAcentral describes it as "long non-coding RNA (NTAB_LNC018630)". Lineage: Eukaryota; Viridiplantae; Streptophyta; Magnoliopsida; Solanales; Solanaceae. The record is from RNAcentral.
ACCACCAAAGAGAAUAAGCCUGGGACCAAUGUAAUUGGGGCUACCCUCCUCUCCAACCGCCGGUACAGCCGUUAAGGUAUGUCCACACCUCGGCCCUGGACCAUCCUCCUUCUUCUCUAGAACAGCGUGCACCACCGAGUACGUCGGAGCACACCUCGGCCCCGUCACCGGAGUACUGCCCUGCUGCUGCUGAGAAGUUGCCGGAUGCUGCUGAUCCUGAGGAGUCUCCGGCGGAGAUCCUCCAGCCGAUGACUGGCCGUUUAGCUGCUCCGACGACGCGCCGUUAUUCUGAUCGUGAUCGGAUUCCGAUGACAUCGCUGAAUCCACGUCCAUAUCCCCCACCUCCAAACCCUAGAUUCUUAAGCUUGUCGGAGCUCCAAUUCUCAACCAUGCGCAUUUCGGAUCAACAUUUCCAAUCCAGUUCAGACCCCAAAUGUCGAAAAUUACAAAUUCAGAUCCUCUGUUUCAAAAACAUCCAAAUUUUAGGAGAAAAUUACAGACCAAAAGAGAGAGAAGUCUAAGUUUUUCUUCUCUCUUCUUCUUCUUCUGAAGAAACUUCAAGGCGGUCGAGGAAUAACAAUCCAAACAGUUCCUCUCUCUAAAACGCUCUUCUUCUCUGUCCAAUCCUCGAUCACUCGUUCUCUCUCUCUCUACGAAUAUUUAAAUGUAUGUAUAGGCGCACAUUUAGGUAUAUCUAUCUGUAUCUAUAGAUUUAUACGUAUUUUUCUGCACAUAAAGUAUCUCUGUCUCUCUCAUCUGUCUAAGGGCUAUGAAGAAAUCUGACUACACUGGACUUUAUUUUUACCUCUCAGGGUACAAGUCCUGAAGCGAGAUUUACACUGUGUUUAUGCAGAUCGUGCAGAUAUUACAGCAUGUGGUACAGCAGCUUUAACGGUGAUAACCGGUUCCGAUUUCAACGGGAAGGGUUCCCUCGUUGAUUGGGUGAAAAUGAAGGAUUUAAUGAGACGCGCAUGAGCGGCGCG